Molecule: ribosomal RNA, 877 nt
Filed under: uncultured bacterium
Lineage: Bacteria
Description: partial 16S ribosomal RNA
Rfam family: Bacterial small subunit ribosomal RNA
Source: RNAcentral
AGAGUUUGAUCCUGGCUCAGANCNNNNNNUGGCGGCAGGCUUAACACAUGCAAGUCGAGCGCCCCGCAAGGGGAGCGGCAGACGGGUGAGUAACGCGUGGGAAUCUACCUAUCUCUACGGAAUAACCCAGGGAAACUUGGACUAAUACCGUAUACGCCCUUCGGGGGAAAGAUUUAUCGGUGAUAGAUGAGCCCGCGUUGGAUUAGCUAGUUGGUGGGGUAAAGGCCUACCAAGGCGACGAUCCAUAGCUGGUCUGAGAGGAUGACCAGCCACACUGGGACUGAGACACGGCCCAGACUCCUACGGGAGGCAGCAGUGGGGAAUAUUGGAUAAUGGGCGAAAGCCUGAUCCAGCCAUGCCGCGUGAGUGGUGACGGCCCUAGGGUUGUAAAGCUCUUUCGCAGGUGAAGAUAAUGACGGUAACCUGAGAAGAAGCCCCGGCUAACUUCGUGCCAGCAGCCGCGGUAAUACGAAGGGGGCUAGCGUUGUUCGGAAUUACUGGGCGUAAAGCGCACGUAGGCGGAUACUUUAGUUAGGGGUGAAAUCCCAGGGCUCAACCCUGGAACUGCCUCUAAUACUGGGUAUCUCGAGUCCGAGAGAGGUGAGUGGAAUUCCGAGUGUAGAGGUGAAAUUCGUAGAUAUUCGGAGGAACACCAGUGGCGAAGGCGGCUCACUGGCUCGGUACUGACGCUGANGUGCGAAAGCGUGGGGAGCAAACAGGAUUANAUACCCUGGUAGUCCACGCCGUAAACUAUGANAGCUAGCCGUCGGCAAGUUNACNUNNNGGUGGCGCAGCUAACGCAUUAAGCUCUCCGCCUGGGGAGNACGGNCGCAAGAUUAAAANNUCANAGGAAUUGACGGGNCCGCACANGCGGNGG